CAAUCUACAGAGGGGCAAAAGUGAUACAAGUUGUUGGAGGGCAGCUUGGGCUAUAAAUACAUUGUGAGGUUCUCUCUGCCCCCUCCCCAGGAAAAAAGUUCUUUUGUAGAAACAGUUAAUGUAAUUCAGUACCUGCAGAGCCAAAAGGUGGGGAAGGGCUGCCAUUGUAGAUAGUGGUAGAGCACUUAUCAGGACCUAAGAGGUAAAGGAGUUAACAUUGUUACAGGGAAAAUAGUGUAGAUUAAUAGCGAAGAAAAAGGCUUUCUCAUUAGUGAAAUUAAGUCUAUAGACUAUACCACACAAAUACUUUAAUGGCAUUUUAGGUAGUAUGCACUUGGGUGAGAAAGCCUAGUUCAGUGCACAUCAAUGUGAAUAGAUUUUUUUUAAAUGUAGAAUAAACUUAAAACUAAUUUUCCUUUUUACAUAAAUGUAAUAUAAAGUGAACAAAAUUUGUAGCAGAUAAUUAUGCCCCAACAUGAAGUCGAUUUUCUUAGAUGAGCAGUGAUACCUAAAGCUGUUGUGGGUGAACCUCACAAGAGCUUUUCUUCUCUAGAACAUUCUGGUGCCUGGGUAUUGGAGGUAAUGUGUGGUAGCUGCUAAGUUGUAACAUUUUCUUUUUUUCUUUUUUAAAGUAAUAGCUAAUAAGCCAAGGUGUGUAAGAUCAGGAUGAUAGAUGCAUUGAGGGCCUAGCUUGGCCAAGGUCACUUGAAAAGGAGUAAGUUGGCAUAAGCCGUAAUCUGACUUUGUGGCUUGUCCAGAACACUGUUCUUUUGAGGAACCUUGUCCUUGUAUGACUUUUAGCUUUGCAUUGAAAUAAAGGGGUAGAUACAAGGCAUAAAUCAAAUAAUACGAAGAUGAGAAGUCUAGGCGGUUUAUUAAUAGUCUCUAGUUUUUUCUUUUUUUUUUUUUUUUUUUUUGCUAUUAGUACUUGGUAUGGGUACAUGUUUAUAAGAGACAAGUAUUUGAAGAACUUGGUCUAGCUGACUCAAGUUGGAGUACUCCUUGUCACUAACCUUUUUUUCCCAAAGCCCUUGGAAAAUGAGCUGUAGUGCUGAUUGAAAGGGAUAUAUGCAGCAUUGGUAUAGAAUAGUGGGUAGAAUCAGGAAUUUUUGCUUUAUUUGCAAAUUCAUGGGACUCAAGAUGCCCAAUAGCAGGUUGAAAGUAAGAACUUAGGAAUGAUAAUAUGAAUAUGUUCUUUCCCCAUUGUGU
RNAcentral lists this long non-coding RNA (1209 nucleotides) under Rattus norvegicus (Norway rat). Its description in RNAcentral is "long non-coding RNA NONRATT009025". The record is from RNAcentral. Lineage: Eukaryota; Metazoa; Chordata; Mammalia; Rodentia; Muridae.